Molecule: ribosomal RNA, 468 nt
Filed under: uncultured bacterium
Lineage: Bacteria
Description: partial 16S ribosomal RNA
Rfam family: Bacterial small subunit ribosomal RNA
Source: RNAcentral
GACGAACGCUGGCGGCGUGCUUAACACAUGCAAGUCGAACGGAAAGGCCCUGCUUUGGUGGGGUUCGCGAGGGGCGAACGGGUGAGUAACACGUGAGUAACUUGCCCUCGUCUUUGGGACAUCUUCAGGAAACUGGGGCAAAAACAGUAUAGGAGCACCUUCUGCAUGGUGGGGGUCGGAAAGUUUCGGCGGUUGGGGAUGGACUCGCGGCUUAUGAGUUUGUUGGGGGGGUUGUGGCUUAAAAGGGCUUUCACGGGUAGCCGGCCUGAGAGGGUGACCGGCCCCCUUGGGACUGGGCUACGGCCGGCACCCCUGCGGGAGGCAGCAGUGGGGAAUAUUGCCUAAUGGGGGGAAGCAGGAUGCAGCAACGCGGCGUUCGGGAUGACGGCCUUCGGGUUGAAAACCGCUUUGGGCUGUACCGAAGCGUGUGUGACGGUAAUAGGUAAAGAAGCACCGGCUAACUACGUG